AUUUUACGUUCAUUUGAGUCAAUACACAUCUACAUUAGGCGUAGUGGGGGACCUUUAGGCCUUCCAUUGGACUCCCACGGUUUGACUCCCCAGCACGCGCUCAUUCUCGCACAUCACAUAGACACAGCCCACCACCACAUAGACACAGCCCACCACCACAUAGACACAGCCCACCACCACAUAGACACAGCCCACCACCACAUAGACACAGCCCACCACCACCACAUAGACACAGCCCACCACCACCACAUAGACACAGCCCACCACCACAUAGACACAGCCCACCACCACAUAGACACAGCCCACCACCACCACAUAGACACAGCCCACCACCACAUAGACACAGCCCACCACCACAUAGACACAGCCCACCACCACAUAGACACAGCCCACCACCACCACAUAGACACAGCCCACCACCACCACAUAGACACAGCCCACCACCACCACAUAGACACAGCCCACCACCACAUAGACACAGCCCACCACCACAUAGACACAGCCCACCACCACAUAGACACAGCCCACCACCACAUAGACACAGCCCACCACCACAUAGACACAGCCCACCACCACCACAUAGACACAGCCCACCACCACCACAUAGACACAGCCCACCACCACAUAGACACAGCCCACCACCACAUAGACACAGCCCACCACCACAUAGACACAGCCCACCACCACAUAGACACAGCCCACCACCACAUAGACACAGCCCACCACCACCACAUAGACACAGCCCACCACCACCACAUAGACACAGCCCACCACCACAUAGACACAGCCCACCACCACAUAGACACAGCCCACCACCACAUAGACACAGCCCACCACCACCACAUAGACACAACCCACCACCACAUAGACACAGCCCACCACCACAUAGACACAGCCCACCACCACCACAUAGACACAGCCCACCACCACCACAUAGACACAGCCCACCACCACCACAUAGACACAGCCCACCACCACAUAGACACAGCCCACCACCACAUAGACACAGCCCACCACCACAUAGACACAGCCCACCACCACCACAUAGACACAGCCCACAACCACCACAUAGACACAGCCCACCACCACAUAGACACAGCCCACCACCACAUAGACACAGCCCACCACCACCACAUAGACACAGCCCACCACCACAUAGACACAGCCCACCACCACAUAGACACAGCCCACCACCACAUAGACACAGCCCACCACCACAUAGACACAGCCCACCACCACAUAGACACAGCCCACCACCACAUAGACACAGCCCACCACCACAUAGACACAGCCCACCACCACAUAGACACAGCCCACCACCACAUAGACACAGCCCACCACCACAUAGACACAGCCCACCACCACAUAGACACAGCCCACCACCACAACAUAGACACAGCCCACCACCACAUAGACACAGCCCACCACCACAUAGACACAGCCCACCACCACCACAUAGACACAGCCCACCACCACCACAUAGACACAGCCCACCACCACAUAGACACAGCCCACCACCACAUAGACACAGCCCACCACCACAUAGACACAGCCUACCACCACAUAGACACAGCCCACCACCACAUAGACACAGCCCACCACCACAUAGACACAGCCCACCACCACAUAGACACAGCCCACCACCACCACAUAGACACAGCCCACCACCACCACAUAGAAACAGCCCACCACCACAUAGACACAGCCCACCACAACAUAGAAACAGCCCACCACCAGAUAGACACAGCCGUCAUCAUUGUAAUGAAUAGUUUGCGUGUUGUUGCAGAUUCACCGUCAAAAGUGGAAAGGAGUAGCUCAGGGAUGAGUCUCAACAAAGACAUGGCAAGCACGUAUUUGAUGGACAGGGAUGAUGAUGGUAAGAGUCUGCGUUCUUCUGGUUCUUCUCUCACAAUAUAUACCUCCAGGUUUCUCUAUACUUCCUUCUGGCUCUCUUUUCUUGUUUUGUCUUUUUGUCAUCUGACAACAGAAGUAUCUCCCUGGGUGUUAAAAAAUAUAUCGAGGUUCACUGAACCAGGAAUGCUGCCUGCCAGUGUACCAUGA
RNAcentral lists this long non-coding RNA (2061 nucleotides) under Gadus morhua (Atlantic cod). RNAcentral's name for it is "lncRNA (ENSGMOG00000030437.1)". The record is from RNAcentral. Lineage: Eukaryota; Metazoa; Chordata; Actinopteri; Gadiformes; Gadidae.